AUUGAACGCUGGCGGCAGGCCUAACACAUGCAAGUCGAGCGGAUGAAGGGAGCUUGCUCCUGGAUUCAGCGGCGGACGGGUGAGUAAUGCCUAGGAAUCUGCCUGGUAGUGGGGGAUAACGUCCGGAAACGGGCGCUAAUACCGCAUACGUCCUGAGGGAGAAAGUGGGGGAUCUUCGGACCGCACGCUAUCAGAGGAGACUAGGUCGGAGUAGCUAGUUGGUGGGGUAACGGCCUACCAAGGGGACGAUCCGUAACUGGUCUGAGAGGAUGAGCAGUCACCCUGGAUCUGAGACUCGGUCCAGACUCUUACGGGAGGCCGCAGUGGGGAAUAUUGGGCAAUGGGCCAAAGCCUGAUCCUGCCAUGCCGCGUGUGUGAAGAAGGUCUUCGGAUUGUUAAGCACUUUAAGUCUGGGGGAAGUGCAGUAAUUUCAUACCUUGCUGUUUUGACGUUACCAACAGAAUAAGCACCGGCUAACUUCGUG
RNAcentral lists this ribosomal RNA (484 nucleotides) under uncultured bacterium. RNAcentral's name for it is "partial 16S ribosomal RNA". It matches the Rfam family "Bacterial small subunit ribosomal RNA", at positions 30 to 507 of the family's 1533-position model. The record is from RNAcentral.